Caenorhabditis elegans is the source of this 68-nucleotide non-coding RNA. NCBI's taxonomy places the organism in Eukaryota, Metazoa, Nematoda, Chromadorea, Rhabditida, Rhabditidae. The record is from Ensembl.
UAAGUGACAAGCACAGAGCAACCACUCAGCUAUUCUCCUCUUCAUUUAGUUUCUUCCAGUAGUGCCCC